GACGAACGCUGGCGGCGUGCUUAACACAUGCAAGUCGAACGGAAAGGCCCUGCUUGUGUGGGGUGCUCGAGUGGCGAACGGGUGUGUAACACGUGAGUAACCUGCCCUUGACUUUGGGAUAACUUCAGGAAACUGGGGCUAAUACCGGAUAGGAGCUCCUGCUGCAUGGUGGGGGUUGGAAAGUUUCGGCGGUUGGGGAUGGACUCGCGGUUUAUCAGCUUGUGGGUGGGGUAGUGGCUUACCAAGGCUUUGACGGGUAGCCGGCCUGAGAGGGUGACCGGCCACAUUGGGACUGAGAUACGGCCCAGACUCCUACGGGAGGCAGCAGUGGGGAAUAUUGCACAAUGGGCGGAAGCCUGAUGCAGCAACGCCGGGUGCGGGAUGACGGCCUUCGGGUUGUAAACCGCUUUCGCCUGUGACGAAGCGUGAGUGACGGUAAUGGGUAAAGAAGCACCGGCUAACUACGUG
This 468-nucleotide ribosomal RNA is filed under the name uncultured bacterium. RNAcentral describes it as "partial 16S ribosomal RNA". It matches the Rfam family "Bacterial small subunit ribosomal RNA", at positions 28 to 507 of the family's 1533-position model. The record is from RNAcentral.